GACGAACGCUGGCGGCGUGCCUAACACAUGCAAGUGGAGCGACGAACCAGGCUUCGGCCUGGGGCAAAGCCGCGAACGGGUGAGUAACACGUGGGUAACCUGCCCCGAUGAUUGGGACAACCCGAGGAAACUCGGGCUAAUACCAAAUGUGCCCUCCGGCCAUAAGGCUGCUGGGGAAAGGAAGCUUCGGCCUCCGCAUCGGGAUGGGCCCGCGGCCCAUUAGCUUGUUGGUGAGGUAAUGGCUCACCAAGGCGACGAUGGGUAGCUGGUCUGAGAGGACGAUCAGCCACACUGGGACUGAGACACGGCCCAGACUCCUACGGGAGGCAGCAGUGGGGAAUCUUGCGCAAUGCGCGAAAGCGUGACGCAGCAACGCCGCGUGGGGGAAGAAGGCC
RNAcentral lists this ribosomal RNA (395 nucleotides) under uncultured bacterium. RNAcentral describes it as "bacterial SSU rRNA". It matches the Rfam family "Bacterial small subunit ribosomal RNA", at positions 28 to 416 of the family's 1533-position model. The record is from RNAcentral.